GGAGGGCUUUGUUUUCCUCCCUGCCGCCAAGGCGAGAGAAAGCGAGAAGAGUGAGCCUUCACGAGUUGCGCUGCUGGAAUCCGGAUAUGAUGAAAAUGUUUUAGACCUGAAGUGUCCCGAGUAAACUUACCGCAGCUGCGCGCCGAAAGAGUCAACAGAGGAUCAUGUUUUCGACUUUUGUACGUCAAAAACCAUCUGGAAUAUCUUGGACUACGAACGUCGAACAGUUAGAGUAGGGGUAAAACUGUCGGGUGUGAAGUUGUCUUGUUUUAUUUUUCCUCCUAACGUUUUGAGGAACGAGUUGAAGGAGGGAAAGAAGGAUGGGAAUAAGUCACAUUUGAACUCAAGUGAGAGAGUUGUCAUGUUUGAAAGGACUGAGGGCUGAGGAAAAGAAGGGAGGAACUACUUCUGCUGGUGGUGGUUUAUAAUUUUUUUUCUCCCUUCGAAGAGGACGACUGCCUCAUGUCCAAGGAGACUGUCCAUCCAUCAGAAGGGCCGGCGGGUCCAGGACAGGGCCCACGGCAAGAGACAAGUCCCCUGCUGUUAGCGUCACACGAUGCUUGUGACUGUGAAUCAACAGGAAGCGCGUCUUCUCCUAGGAAACAAUCCGCUGAAGGACAAAGUCUCGUGACGGAGGAGAAGCCUAAUUAUUGCAAGCCUGUGAGGAGUAAGUCUUAAUGACCCGGGAAAACUGUGGGCAAACAGCAGUACAUCGUUGUGCUAUUUUUUUCCUCUCUCUAAAUAAUAAACAAUGAGGAAUUUAAUUGCAGAAAGUGAAAGUGAUUAACAUGUCGGAUCAGCCUAACUUCUGCAAGUGAUUUUUUAUUUAUUUUUUUAUUCAACAUUUGAAACUGCUUUAAUUUUACUCAGAUUUUUUUUCUAAUGCCAAUAUUCUCACCUUAUAGGAAAAGCUAUUGUUAUGCUGUUCCUGUGUUAGGGUCAGUUGGCCAUCUGAAAUAUUAGCUUCACUGUUUCCAAUUACAGUAAUAGCCAGAUAGCAGCUCGGCCUCUUGGCAAGUGAGUAUAACAUGCCUGCUGUCUUAUUCUGACGUUAUGACCAAGACUUGGCUCAGUCGGCCAUUUUUGCUUCUUUCAAAUCCUCAGCCAUGUGUUUUGCAAGAAGGGAAAUCCAGUUUGUGGUAUUGGCCGUCCUCAUGUACCGAUUGAGUCCUACUUGUAGUUUCUUUAACCUGGUGCCAACGUUUGCCUCUUCACAGGAUGUUAUUGCAGACUGGGAAAGAGUGUAUUUUAGUUGAAGUAGCAUCCAGGUUUGCAACAUGUGGGGGGUGGGGAAAUAGACUUGUCUGGUCCAUCAAUCAUCUACCUAUCAUCCAUAAAUGAUAGGUCAUCCGUCCAUUCCUAUGUCUGUCCAUCAACAUCUCUAACUGUACAUUAGUCCAUCCAACUACCUUCUGUCAAUCUGUCUGGACGUCUUCUUGUCUUCUUAUAUAUUCGUGUGUCUCUUAUGUUGGUCUGUUGUAUGCUCACCUUUUCUUCCGUCCGUCCAUCAACAAACUGCUUGUCAAUCAUCCGUCAACCGUGCAGCCAACAGCUCGACAGUUUCGCCGCUUGUCCGGUGUAAAUUCAGGGUGAACUUUUAAUUACAUGAUUCAGAAAUGGACAAAACUGGAACGCGUCAGACCUUUAAUUGAGUAAAGGUUUGUGAACUUCUGGAGGCAUCUUCCUAGUUAGAAUCAACAAGUCUCCAAUAAUAAAAACCUUUCAACCGUUGCUACUGCGUACUUUGUGGCAUUUCUUCUGGUUCAGGCUGGAAACUUUCUCGUGACUCUGAUCUAAUCAUAUUGUUUUAUGCAAAUGUAGAGCACAGCAAGGCUCUGCUAAACAGCAAUUUGCCAUUGAUUUAGAAGCAAUUCUAAUUAAACCUAGUUGCACAGUAAUUCCACUCCUUACAAAGAUAUAGAUUGCAGGUCACAGAGUGAAACGCGACUAAAAGGCUUUGUGUAUGCGUGCUUCAUUGUUCCUGAGAGGAGUGAGAUGUGACAACAUGGGCUAAUGGCAGCUGAUUGCUGCUGUAAUAAGGAUCGUGUUUUCAUUUAACACCAUUCUUGACUAC
Poecilia latipinna (sailfin molly) is the source of this 2074-nucleotide long non-coding RNA. RefSeq lists it as uncharacterized. NCBI's taxonomy places the organism in Eukaryota, Metazoa, Chordata, Actinopteri, Cyprinodontiformes, Poeciliidae. The record is from RefSeq and is a predicted model, not a curated record. The transcript is spliced from 3 exons.